UCGCCUCCACAUCUACUCCAUUCCCUCCACACCUUCCUGCUGCUGACAUCUGCGUGGAGACGCAAGAAGACAGAGACGGGAAUGAAGAGAAAAGCUCUUUUCGCGCUGUCGCAGUGUCUUAGCUCCGCAUCCAUUUUGUUUUUCUUUUUCUUUUUAAUAUAUUUAUUUAAAGGAUUGAAUCGGGACAACUUUAACGUUUUUUGUUUUUUCUCCCCCAGACGCAGCGGCAGAAAGAGACACAAUAGCGGGGGGGAAAGCAGCAGCAGAACCCAGACUGACCUGCGGUUAUAGAGCUGGACGUGUGGCACUGAAUGACGGAUGUAAACGUAAUGUAUCUGAGCUGAUCAUAAAUAUCACUGUUUUACAUGUUAAACCGUUGAUCGUGUGUGUGUGUGUGUGUGUGUUGGUGUUUUCUACGCGUAAUUGCCGAUUUCGGUGGUUUCCUACUAUACCUGUGGUUUUCGUGCCAUCACUCGUUUUUUAAUCUUAAUUUUAAUCUCAGUAUUUUUCACGUGAACAUUCACGACACCGGUGAUUCACAGACACUCGUGUUUGUGCGUGUAUGUGCUCGGCGUUGGCCUCAGGAGAGCCACGCAGGGCUCCCGUGUCCUCAGCCGCCAUCUGUCACUCUCUCCGAGGUCACAUGAGGUAGAACAGCGGGUGCAGGAAAUGUGGGAAAUCUUACACGAGGUGUGUUUUUUUUUUUCUCACCCUCUAGGAUUAGGGUGGGGUUUUUCUUCUUCUCUCUCUCUCUCUCUGUGUCAUUCAGCCACGUUUUAGUCCUUUUUUCCCCCCCGCCUCAGUCGUGCGCUUUUACGCACAGCGACACGCGGAGUGGAUGGAGCAUGGAGUCGGUGAAGACUGACGGAUGUUUGGGAGCACAGAUGUGACCAUGCCUCUGGCUGAGGUAGUAGUUUGUGCUGUUGGUCGGGGAGUCACACUGCCCCUUAUGGAGAUGACUGCGCAAUCUACUGCCUUGCCAGCGCUGGUGACUUUCAGCGCAGGAAUGGAACCUGAGAACAGUCGAGGGAACGGGAAAGAACGUGGUUUUGUUACAUGAUCAUUAUUAACUGUAACGGACGUACCUGCAAAUUAACCUUGGAGCUCUCGUGUGAAUAAAGUGAUACGAACUGCACAUGUCCUUUGAAAUAAAGAGUGUUAUUUAACUAACAUGCAAGUGAUAUAUUAUUUUUUUUAUUAUUAAUAAAAUACAUCUAGAUUGUGACAUUGUACCUGGUGUGUGUGUGUGUGUGGAUUUUCUCUAUAUUUUCUCCCAACAAUUACACAUUAGCAUUUAUUAUCCUGGCCUGGUCAUUUGUGAUCAGGUUCUGUAAACCAGGUAAGUGAGCGUUGGCCCCUUGAAUUUCAUGGCGUUACAUAGAUCUAGUUGUGUUAUUUAAGGCCAACGUAAAUAACGGCAGUCAAUUUCAUUUGGUACAGACAUUAGCGGCUGGACAAAACUCAAAAAUCAGCUAAUAAAAAAAAACAUUGGAUUAAAUCUGACGAACUGGCUGGUUAGAUGGUCAUUUGUACACGACCUGGCAACCUCACAUCAGGAGAAUAACUGGCAACCCAUGACGCACCUACAGCGUCAUGACGUAGGACGCCCCUGUAGAGAUUCCAGCCGGUGAGAAAAACGCAGCAGUUGUGUUAAGGAGUUAAAAACAUGUUAUUUAAGAAUAAUAAGAAAAUAUUUAUAUAUUUUAUUUUUUUAUUCAUUAUUUAAAAUAUAUUAAGCUACGUAACUAUUACGAAAUAAGCUCAGACGCAAGGUCGCUUGGAGAAAGUGACGAAGGUGGAGAUCACAGCUUCCAUGUUGCUGUCGUCCUUCAGCAGUUAAAGAUGACUGUGAAGAGUCGGCACCGAGUCCUGUUUCUACAGAAUGGACCACUACUACCUACAGACAGCACCAGAACACUCUGUGCCAAAUCUGGGAGAAACUCUACAUCAUUUCAGCCUCCUGUCUGCGCUUACCUGAAGACAGACAGAGAGACACAGAGACAGAGAGAGAGAGAGAAAACAACAACAGAGAAGAAGGAAGUAGAAAGGCUUUAGUCCACACAACCAGGCCAGAGUAGAAGGAGGAAGAGGAGUGAGGAGCUGCUCAGUGAAGAUGAUCCCGUGGGUUGCUGUCCUCACGGCUGUCUGUCUCCGGGCUCAGGAUGGAGCCACAGCAGGAAGGGCAAGAAUAGAGCA
Molecule: long non-coding RNA, 2196 nt
Organism: Cynoglossus semilaevis (tongue sole)
Lineage: Eukaryota; Metazoa; Chordata; Actinopteri; Pleuronectiformes; Cynoglossidae
Exons: 3
Source: RefSeq, a predicted model, not a curated record